GAUGAACGCUAGCUACAGGCCUAACACAUGCAAGUCGAGGGCCCGGGGCACGGGAGAGUAACAUGUAUCCCUCCUUCCCUUUACUCGGGGAUAGCCUUUCGAAAGAACGAUUAAUACCCGAUAUAAAGGAUGGGGAUGCGUUCCAUUAGGUUGGUGGUGAGGUACCGGCUAACCCAGCCUUCGAUGGAUAGGGGUUAUGAGAGGAAGGCACCCCAGAUUGGAACUGAGACACGGUCCAAACUCCGACGGGAGGCAGCGGUGAGGAAUAUUGGUCAAUGGGCGGUAACCCGACCCAGCCAAGUAGAGGAAAGGAGGAAGGCUUAUGGGUCGUAAACUUCUGUUAUAUAAGAAGAUGUAUUAGAUGAAGAAGGAUCGGCUAACUCCGUGCCAGCAGCCGCGGUAAUUC
This 406-nucleotide ribosomal RNA is filed under the name uncultured bacterium. Its description in RNAcentral is "partial 16S ribosomal RNA". It matches the Rfam family "Bacterial small subunit ribosomal RNA", at positions 28 to 526 of the family's 1533-position model. The record is from RNAcentral.